ACGAACGCUGGCGGCGUGCCUCAUACAUGCAAGUCGCACGAGAGCGACCGGUGCUUGCCCUGGUCAAUCUAGUGGCGAACGGGUGAGUAACACGUGGGUAACCUGCCCAUCAGAGGGGGAUAACAUCCGGAAACGGAUGCUAAAACCGCAUAGGUCUUCGAGCCGCAUGGCUUGAAGAGGAAAAGAGGCGCAAGCUUCUGCUGAUGGAUGGACCCGCGGUGCAUUAGCUAGUUGGUGAGGUAACGGCUCACCAAGGCCGUGAUGCAUAGCCGACCUGAGAGGGUGAUCGGCCACAUUGGGACUGAGACACGGCCCAAACUCCUACGGGAGGCAGCAGUAGGGAAUCUUCCGCAAUGGACGCAAGUCUGACGGAGCAACGCCGCGUGAGUGAAGAAGGUUUUCGGAUCGUAAAACUCUGUUGUUAGAGAAGAACAAGUGCUAGAGUAACUGUUAGCGCCUUGACGGUAUCUAACCAGAAAGCCACGGCUAACUACGUG
This 497-nucleotide ribosomal RNA is filed under the name uncultured bacterium. Its description in RNAcentral is "partial 16S ribosomal RNA". It matches the Rfam family "Bacterial small subunit ribosomal RNA", at positions 29 to 507 of the family's 1533-position model. The record is from RNAcentral.